GAGAGUAUAAUUCGGUGGUAGAGCACAUGUUUAGCAGGCACAAGGUCCUGGGUUCAAUCCCCAGUACCUUCA
This 72-nucleotide transfer RNA is filed under the name Camelus bactrianus (Bactrian camel). It matches the Rfam family "tRNA". From Rfam's summary of the family: Transfer RNA (tRNA) molecules are approximately 80 nucleotides in length. Their secondary structure includes four short double-helical elements and three loops (D, anti-codon, and T loops). Lineage: Eukaryota; Metazoa; Chordata; Mammalia; Artiodactyla; Camelidae. RNAcentral also lists the same sequence under 1 other name. The record is from Rfam by way of RNAcentral.